This 500-nucleotide ribosomal RNA is filed under the name uncultured bacterium. Its description in RNAcentral is "partial 16S ribosomal RNA". It matches the Rfam family "Bacterial small subunit ribosomal RNA", at positions 30 to 523 of the family's 1533-position model. The record is from RNAcentral.
AUUGAACGCUGGCGGAAUGCUUUACACAUGCAAGUCGAACGGCAGCACGGACUUCGGUCUGGUGGCGAGUGGCGAACGGGUGAGUAAUGUAUCGGAACGUGCCCAGUCGUGGGGGAUAACGUAGUGAAAAUUACGCUAAUACCGCAUACGAUCUAUGGAUGAAAGCGGGGGAUCGCAAGACCUCGCGCGAUUGGAGCGGCCGAUAUCAGAUUAGGUAGUUGGUGGGGUAAAGGCCCACCAAGCCAACGAUCUGUAGCUGGUCUGAGAGGACGACCAGCCACACUGGAACUGAGACACGGUCCAGACUCCUACGGGAGGCAGCAGUGGGGAAUUGUGGACAAGGGGCGAAAGCCUGAUCCAGCCAUUCCGCGUGCAGGAUGAAGGCCCUCGGGUAGUAAACUGCUUUUGUACAGAACGAAAAGGUUUCUACUAAUACUAGGAGCUCAUGACGGUACUGUAAGAAUAAGCACCGGCUAACUACGUGCCAGCCGCCGCGGUAA